UCAUAGCUCAGUCGGUAGAGCACGAGACUCUUAAUCUCACGUUGGUGGGUUUGAGCCCCAUAUUGGGCAGAA
Molecule: non-coding RNA, 72 nt
Organism: Podarcis lilfordi (Lilford's wall lizard)
Lineage: Eukaryota; Metazoa; Chordata; Lepidosauria; Squamata; Lacertidae
Source: the annotation of a GenBank genome assembly